UUAAGCUAAUAAGAGCGCAGGGUGGAUGCCUUGGCACUAAGAGCCGAAGAAAGACGUGAUAAGCUGCGAAAAGCUACGGUUAGGAGCAAAUAUCCAAUGAUCCGUAGAUAUCUGAAUGGGGAAACCUAACCGGAAAAACUCCGGUUACUGCAUGGUGAAUACAUAGCCAUGCAGAGGGAACCCGGUGAACUGAAACAUCUAAGUAGCCGGAGGAAAAGAAAGAAACAUCGAUUUCCAAAGUAGCGGCGAGCGAAAUGGAAAGAGCCUAAACCGGAUUGCGUGCAAUCCGGGGUUAUGGACCGCACCAAGUGACUUAGCGGGUAGAAGAAUGGUAUUGGGAAAGCCAGCUAGAGAGGGUGAAAGCCCCGUAUUCGAAACCUUAAGAGAGCGAGCGGAAUCCGAAGUACCACGAGACACGUGGAACCUUGUGGGAAGUCGGGGGGACCACCCCCCAAGGCUAAAUACUCCUUAGUGACCGAUAGCGCAUAGUACUGUGAAGGAAAGGUGAAAAGAACCCCGGGAGGGGAGUGAAAGAGAACCUGAAACCCUGUGUUUACAAGCUGUGGAACUGCUUUAUAUGCAGAACCGCGUACUUUUUGUAGAACGGUCCGGCGAGUUACGCUUACUGGCAAGGUUAAGUACCAAAGGUAUGGAGCCGAAGGGAAACCAAGUCUUAACAGGGCGCCAUAGUCAGUAGGAGUAGACCCGAAACCGGGUGACCUACCCAUGUCCAGGAUGAAGUUGCCGUAAAAGGCAAUGGAGGUCCGAACACACAUCCGUUGAAAAGGGUGGUGAUGAGGUGUGGGUAGCGGAGAAAUUCCAAUCGAACCCGGAGAUAGCUGGUUCUCCUCGAAAUAGCUUUAGGGCUAGCCUCAAUUUAGUCUUGCGGAGGUAGAGCACUGAAUAUCCUAGGGGGCGUCAAAGCUUACCGAAGAUUAUCAAACUCCGAAUGCCGUUAAGAUGAUGAUUGGGAGUCAGACUGCACGAGAUAAGUUGGGUAGUCAAAAGGGAAACAGCCCAGACCUCCAGCUAAGGUCCCAAAGUGAGUGUUAAGUGGAAAAGGAUGUGGGAUUUCGAAGACAACUAGGAUGUUGGCUUAGAAGCAGCCAUACAUUCAAAGAGUGCGUAAUAGCUCACUAGUCGAGAGGUCCUGCGCCGAAAAUGUCCGGGGCUAAACACUACACCGAAGCUGAGGAAUGAUUUAUCAUUGGUAGAGGAGCAUUGUUAGCGAGACGAAGCUGUACCGGAAGGAGCAGUGGAUUGCUAAGAAGAGAGAAUGCCGGAAUGAGUAGCGAGAGUGAGGUGAGAAUCCUCACGGCCGAAUAUCUAAGGUUUCCAGGGUAAAGCUGAUCUGCCCUGGGUUAGUCGGGGCCUAAGGCGAGGUCGAAAGACGUAGUCGAUGGAUAACAGGUUGAUAUUCCUGUACUACAAUAUAUCAGAACUGUGGGGACACAGACAGAAAGCCAGAGCCGGGAAUGGAAAGACCGGUACAAGCGAGGUAGGAGUAAGGCAGGCAAAUCCGCCUUACAAUCUGAAGACGUGAUGUGUAGCGAAGUUAUAAGUAGCGAAGCUGGUGAGCUGGCUGUCAGGAAAAGCCGCUAUUGUGUAUAUUGUACCCGUACCGUAAACCGACACAGGUGGAUGAGGAGAGAAUCCUAAGGCCGACGGAAGAAGCAUUGUUAAGGAACUCGGCAAAAUGGCCCCGUAACUUCGGGAUAAGGGGUGCCUACGAAGGUAGGCCGCAGAGAAUUGGCCCAAGCAACUGUUUAGCAAAAACACAGGUCUAUGCGAAACCGUAAGGUGAUGUAUAUGGGCUGACGCCUGCCCGGUGCUGGAAGGUUAAGAGGAGAGGUUAGCGAAUGCGAAGCUUUGAAUUUAAGCCCCAGUAAACGGCGGCCGUAACUAUAACGGUCCUAAGGUAGCGAAAUUCCUUGUCGG
Molecule: ribosomal RNA, 1938 nt
Filed under: human gut metagenome
Description: bacterial LSU rRNA
Rfam family: Bacterial large subunit ribosomal RNA
Source: RNAcentral